UCUAUUUCCAAAACAACAAAUCUCUUUCAAAUAUGGUAUCUUUUUCUUAGAAGUUAUUUUUGUCAUGCAUUUAUUGAGCACCAGAUACCCUAAACGAUAUCAACGUUCUUGAUCGUUCUCUAGUUUUUAAUGAUAUAUUAAAUAGUAUGGCUCCAACUGUGAAUUACUUUGUCAACGACCGCCAGUAUCAUUUGGGUUACUAUCUCAUUGAUGGUAUUUAUCCCAACUGGGCUACUUUUAUUCAAUCUAUUCCACUUCCACAGAGUGACAAAUAUGAUAGUACAAGACGAACGAGCUGAAUACACUCAGCUUGACACCGCAUAAUUCAAACUAAGAGAAGGAUAAAUACUUUGUGGAAGUUAAAUAGACUGGAUAAAAGUUGCCCUGUUGAUUUUAAUAUCAAAGAUUUUAUUUAACUUUUUUUCGUUAAACUUAGAUUGUUUGACAUACUUUCUUCUCCAAAUAAAUAUAGGCAAAAUGUUUAACUACAAUCAUGAGGGUAACGUACUUUCUUCAUCUCUCUCUCUCUCUCUAUCCCUCUUAGUCCAUUCCUCAAUUCUUUUGUUACCAUGGUUGUUCAUCUAAAUUAUAAAGUAGAAUUUAUCAUAUUUUUUUUAUCAAACAAUAUGAUUUUAAUGAAUUUAACUAAUUUAGAUAGCUAUUUGUUUAAUAGAGCAAAUCGAUAUGUGCAUUUACAAAAAUCUUUUUUUUUUAUCAUAUAUCAUAUAUAUUAAUAUUUUUUUUCUUUUACAGGAACAUGAAUAUUUUUUUAUCAAACUCAUAUGUUCUUAUAUGAUACGGGUAUAAAAAGUUUUUGUUUAAUGCAAAUUCUAACCAUCAAACUAAAUUUUGAUUUACAUUGGCAUUUUUUAUUUAUACAUUGUCUAAAGAAAACAUAAACGUAUAUGGUUUUUCUUAACCGUUGCUUUUUAUGACGUUUUACUUGUAGUAUUUAGUUUUCUUUUAGUUGUACUUAAAAUUUUAUGUUGCAGCUUCUAAUAUUGAAUCUUCGAAAAGCUAUGGAGAUUAUCGUCAUCAUCUCAAAAAACUAAAAAUACAAGAUAUGCAUCCAAAUACUAAUUAAUUAGUACUAAUUAUUAUCGGGAAAAAUGUCAAAAAAAAUCCCGAACUUUCAAAUUUGGGAUGGUUUAAUCCCCAACUUUUGAGAAGUCAUUUUAAUCACAAAGUUUAUGUUGACUUUUCUGUAAAAUAGCUAAGUUUGUUGACCUUGCUGAUUUAAGCACGACGUUUAUUCUAUGUUAAAAUCUUGAAGACGGGAUUAACUAUUUGUGUGUUGGUUCCAUUUAGCCUAAAUAACCACGCUUUUUAAACAACGAAACGACGCUAGAAGUCACUUUCUUCCUCCAUGCGUCCG
Molecule: long non-coding RNA, 1375 nt
Filed under: Capsella grandiflora
Lineage: Eukaryota; Viridiplantae; Streptophyta; Magnoliopsida; Brassicales; Brassicaceae
Description: long non-coding RNA (CGRA_LNC000555)
Source: RNAcentral